This is a small nucleolar RNA of Vicia villosa (hairy vetch), 108 nucleotides long. Lineage: Eukaryota; Viridiplantae; Streptophyta; Magnoliopsida; Fabales; Fabaceae. The record is from RefSeq and is a predicted model, not a curated record.
AGAUCAUGAUGUGGAUAUAGCCUCAUCAUAUCUUUAUACCUCUCCCAAGCUUCAAAAAGCGACUCACCUUUUUUUUUGUCUAAAACCGUUUAUUUGGCUCUUUAGCAU